This 374-nucleotide ribosomal RNA is filed under the name uncultured bacterium. RNAcentral describes it as "bacterial SSU rRNA". It matches the Rfam family "Bacterial small subunit ribosomal RNA", at positions 525 to 896 of the family's 1533-position model. The record is from RNAcentral.
ACAUAGGCUUCAAGCGUUGUCCGGAUUUAUUGGGCGUAAAGAGUUCGUAGGCGGUCGAGUAAGUCGGGUGUGAAAAUUCUGGGCUCAACCCAGAGACGCCACCCGAUACUGCUUAACUUGAGUUCGAUAGGGGAGUGGGGAAUUCCUAGUGUAGCGGUGAAAUGCGCAGAUAUUAGGAGGAACACCGGUGGCGAAGGCGCCACUCUGGAUCGACACUGACGCUGAGGAACGAAAGCAUGGGUAGCAAACAGGAUUAGAUACCCUGGUAGUCCAUGCGGUAAACGGUGGGCACUAGGUGUGGGUUUCUAUUAACGAAAUCCGCGCCGUCGCUAACGCAUUAAGUGCCCCGCCUGGGGAGUACGGUCGCAAGACUA